This is a non-coding RNA of Butyrivibrio proteoclasticus, 90 nucleotides long. The record is from Rfam. NCBI's taxonomy places the organism in Bacteria, Bacillati, Bacillota, Clostridia, Lachnospirales, Lachnospiraceae.
AUGAUAUUAGGGCAAAGCCGCUGGAAAGCGGUGACGCAAAACUAAAGGGUCUUAAUCACAUAGGUAUGUGACAGACAGCCAGUUGCUGGU